Molecule: ribosomal RNA, 469 nt
Filed under: uncultured Anaerolineaceae bacterium
Lineage: Bacteria; Bacillati; Chloroflexota; Anaerolineae; Anaerolineales; Anaerolineaceae
Description: bacterial SSU rRNA
Rfam family: Bacterial small subunit ribosomal RNA
Source: RNAcentral
UUAAAGGAAGUUGACGGGGCCCCGCACAAGCAGCGGAGCGUGUGGUUUAAUUCGAUGUUACACGAAGAACCUUACCUGGGAUUGACAUGGAGGUGGUAGGGAAGCGGAAGCGGACCGACUCUUCGGAGAGCCUUCACAGGUGCUGCAUGGCUGUCGUCAGCUCGUGCCGUGAGGUGUCGGGUUAAGUCCCGUAACGAGCGCAACCCUUGCCCUUAGUUACAAGUGUCUAGGGGGACUGCCGGCGGGAAGCCGGAGGAAGGUGGGAUGACGUCAAGUCAGCAUGGCCCUUAUAUCCAGGGCUACACACACGCUACAAUGGUCGGUACAAAGGGCAGCGAAGCCGCGAGGUGGAGCGAAUCCCAGCAAAGCCGACCGUAGUACGGAUAGCAGGCUGCAACUCGCCUGCUUGAAGCUGGAGUUGCUAGUAACCGCGCGUCAGCAUAGUGCGGUGAAUACGUUCCCGGGGCUU